Molecule: ribosomal RNA, 1358 nt
Filed under: Diaporthe phaseolorum
Lineage: Eukaryota; Fungi; Ascomycota; Sordariomycetes; Diaporthales; Diaporthaceae
Description: SSU rRNA
Source: RNAcentral
GGGGAGGUCUAGGUUUAAGCACCUAAACGGCGAAACUGCGAAUGGCUCAUUAAAUCAGUUAUCGUAUAUUUGAUAGUACCUACUACAUGGAUAACCGUGGUAAUUCUAGAGCUAAUACAUGCUUAAAAUCCCGACUUCGGAAGGGAUGUAUUUAUUAGAUUAAAAACCAAUGCCCUUCGGGGCUCACUGGUGAUUCAUAAUAMYUUCUCGAAUCGCAUGGCCUUGCGCCGGCGAUGGUUCAUUCAAAUUUCUGCCCUAUCAACUUUCGACGGCUGGGUCUUGGCCAGCCGUGGUUACAACGGGUAACGGAGGGUUAGGGCUUGACCCCGGAGAAGGAGCCUGAGAAACGGCUACUACAUCCAAGGAAGGCAGCAGGCGCGCAAAUUACCCAAUCCCGACUCGGGGAGGUAGUGACAAUAAAUACUGAUACAGGGCUCUUUUGGGUCUUGUAAUUGGAAUGAGUACAAUUUAAAUCCCUUAACGAGGAACAAUUGGAGGGCAAGUCUGGUGCCAGCAGCCGCGGUAAUUCCAGCUCCAAUAGCGUAUAUUAAAGUUGUUGCAGUUAAAAAGCUCGUAGUUGAACCUUGGGCCUGGCUGGCCGGUCUGCCUCACCGCAUGCACUGGUCCGGCCGGGCCUUUCCCUCUGGGGAGCCGCAUGCCCUUCACUGGGUGUGUCGGGGAACCAGGACUUUUACUGUGAAAAAAUUAGAGUGUUCAAAGCAGGCAUAUGCUCGAAUACAUUAGCAUGGAAUAAUAGAAUAGGACGUCGCGGUUCUAUUUUGUUGGUUUCUAGGACCGCCGUAAUGAUUAAUAGGGACAGUCGGGGGCAUCAGUAUUCAAUCGUCAGAGGUGAAAUUCUUGGAUCGAUUGAAGACUAACUACUGCGAAAGCAUUUGCCAAGGGAUGUUUUCAUUAAUCAGGAACGAAAGUUAGGGGAUCGAAAACGAUCAGAUACCGUUGUAGUCUUAACCAUAAACUAUGCCGACUAGGGAUCGGGCGGUGUUAUUUCUUGACCCGCUCGGCACCUUACACGAAAGUAAAGUUUUKGGGUCUSKGGGGGGAGUAUGGUCGCAAGGCUGAAACUUAAAGAAAUUGACGGRARGGCACMACAAGGGGUGGAGCCUGCGGCUUAAUUUGACUCAACACGGGGAAACUCACCAGGUCCAGACACAACUAGGAUUGACAGAUUGAGAGCUCUUUCUUGAUUUUGUGGGUGGUGGUGCAUGGCCGUUCUUAGUUGGUGGAGUGAUUUGUCUGCUUAAUUGCGAUAACGAACGAGACCUUAACCUGCUAAAUAGCCCGUGCCGCCUAGGCGGCACGCCGGCUUCUUAGAGGGACUAUCGCUCAAAGCCCCGAAG